Molecule: ribosomal RNA, 508 nt
Filed under: Photorhabdus luminescens
Lineage: Bacteria; Pseudomonadati; Pseudomonadota; Gammaproteobacteria; Enterobacterales; Morganellaceae
Description: bacterial SSU rRNA
Rfam family: Bacterial small subunit ribosomal RNA
Source: RNAcentral
UGGACAAAGGGGGUGCCUUACCAUGCAAGUCGAACGGCAGCGCGAGAGAGCUUGCUCUCUUGGCGGCGAGUGGCGGACGGGUGAGUAAUAUAUCGGAACGUGCCCAGUAGCGGGGGAUAACUACUCAAAAGAGUGGCUAAUACCGCAUACGCCCUACGGGGGAAAGGGGGGGAUCGCAAGACCUCUCACUAUUGAAGCGGCCGAUAUCGGAUUAGCUAGUUGGUGGGGUAAAGGCUCACCAAGGCAACGAUCCGUACCUGGUUUGAGAGGACGACCAGCCACACUGGGACUGAGACACGGCCCACACUCCUACGGGAGGCAGCAGUGGGGAAUUUUGGACAAUGGGGGAAACCCUGAUCCAGCCAUCCCGCGUGUAUGAGGAAGGCCUUCGGGUUGUAAAGUACUUUUGGCAGAGAAGAAAAGGUAUCCCCUAAUACGGGAUACUGCUGAAGGUAUCUGCAGAAUAAGCACCGCAAAAACUACGUGCCAACAACCGCAGUAAUACCAA